GAAACUAACAAGGAUUUUCUUAGUAGCGGCGAGCGAAAAGAAAACAGUUCAGCACUAAGUCACUUUGUCUUUAUGGCAAAUGUGAGAUGCAGUGUAUGGAACGUCUUCAAUCUAGUAUGAGAAAUUAACGAUUUAAGUCCUUCUUAAAUGAGGCCAAUUACCCAUAGAGGGUGCCAGGCCCGUAUAACGUUAAUGAUUACUAGAAGGCGCUUCCGAAGAGUCGUGUUGCUUGAUAGUGCAGCACUAAGUUGGUGGUAAACUCCAUCUAAAACUAAAUAUAACCAUGAGACCGAUAGUAAACAAGUACCGUGAGGGAAAGUUGAAAAGAACUCUGAAUAGAGAGUUAAAUAGUACGUGAAACUGCUUAGAGGUUAAGCCCGAUGAACCUGAAUAUCCGUUAUGGAAAAUUCAUCAUUAGAAUUGUAAUAUCUUUAAAAAAAUAUUAUAAUGAUAGUGUGCAUUUUUUCCAUAUAAGGACAUUGUAAUCUAUUAACAUAUAUAUAUAUUUAUCAAAAAUUCAUAAACCUUUGUGUUUAUUUCAAUUAUUAUGGCUUGCUAUUUUAACAUAGAAUAAUUGUUUAUGAUUUGAUAAAGUGUUGAUAGAUUUAUCAUAUAUACAGUGCUUUAAUUUUUUUAUUAAAAUUAUAUAAUGGCAUAAUUAUCAAUGAUUUUUAUGUUUAUUAUAUGCACUUGUAUGAUUAACAAUGCGAAAGAUUCAGGAUACCCUCGGGACCCGUCUUGAAACACGGACCAAGGAGUCUAACAUAUAUGCAAGUCAUUGGGAUUUUUAUAAACCUAAUGGCGUAAUUAACUUGACUUUAUUUUAAAAUGGGAUUAGUUUUUAAAUUAUUUAUAAUUUAUUAAUUCAAUCCCGGGGCGUUCUAUAUAGUUAUGUAUAAUAAUAUUUAUAUUAUUUAUACCUCUAACU
Molecule: ribosomal RNA, 928 nt
Filed under: Stegana mengla
Lineage: Eukaryota; Metazoa; Arthropoda; Insecta; Diptera; Drosophilidae
Description: eukaryotic LSU rRNA
Rfam family: Eukaryotic large subunit ribosomal RNA
Source: RNAcentral